CUUAAUGCAGAUAGUGAAAAAAACUAAACAAAAUAAAACAAAAAACUAAAAUUUACAGUAGAUAUGUUCAGUCUCCAAAAUCCCUGUGUGAAAAAUGAUAAAGAAGAAAAACUAGAGAACACUAAGGACAAAAACUCAAUUGGCUUUGCCUUUGGUUAUACCCUAAUCAGGUCUCAAAAAGGUUUAGCUCACAUAUACCCCACCUCCUAUAGACUGUAAG
Pelobates cultripes (western spadefoot toad) is the source of this 220-nucleotide non-coding RNA. Lineage: Eukaryota; Metazoa; Chordata; Amphibia; Anura; Pelobatidae. The record is from the annotation of a GenBank genome assembly.